Non-coding RNA from Rattus norvegicus (Norway rat), 63 nucleotides. Lineage: Eukaryota; Metazoa; Chordata; Mammalia; Rodentia; Muridae. The record is from Rfam.
GGGGAUUUAGCUCAGUGGUAGAGUACUUGCCUAGCAAGUGCAAGGCCCUGGGUUAAGUCCCCA